CUUCACAAUGUGCGAAAGCACGAUGAGGGGAUCCCAAGUGCUGGCACGUAAGUGUCAGCUGUUUCUUAGUCUAAAAAACUGAGAGAGUAAGGGCUGGGUAAGACGGGUGCCAGCUGCCGCGGUAAUACCUGCAGCUCAAGUGGUGGCCGCUAUUAUUGGGCCUAAAACGUCCGUAGCCUGUUUAGUAAAUGCUUGGGUAAAUUGUGUAGCUUAACUAUACGAAUACCGGGUAGACUGCUAAACUUGGGACCGGGAGAGGCUAGAGGUACUCCUGGGGUAGAGGUGAAAUUCUGUAAUCCUAGGGGGACCACCAGUGGCGAAGGCGUCUAGCUAGAACGGGUCUGACGGUGAGGGACGAAGCCCUGGGGCGCAAACCGGAUUAGAUACCCGGGUAGUCCAGGGUGUAAACGCUGCUUGCUUGAUGUUAGUUGGGCUCCGAGCCCAACUAGUGUCGGAGAGAAGUUGUUAAGCAAGCUGCCUGGGAAGUACGGUCGCAAGACUGAAACUUAA
This 510-nucleotide ribosomal RNA is filed under the name uncultured archaeon 63-A22. Its description in RNAcentral is "bacterial SSU rRNA". It matches the Rfam family "Archaeal small subunit ribosomal RNA", at positions 348 to 859 of the family's 1478-position model. The record is from RNAcentral.